RNAcentral lists this ribosomal RNA (1333 nucleotides) under Filchneria songi. RNAcentral's name for it is "large subunit ribosomal RNA". The stretch from base 580 to 1333 matches the Rfam family "Archaeal large subunit ribosomal RNA", at positions 1423 to 2814 of the family's 2987-position model. The record is from RNAcentral. Lineage: Eukaryota; Metazoa; Arthropoda; Insecta; Plecoptera; Perlodidae.
UAACUAAAAAUUUACUUUAGUUGUUGGAAUUAUUAAUAAUUAUAUUUAAUAAAAUCAUUUUUUAAGUGUUAAGUUUGUGUAUAGGUUAUAGAUAAAAUUUUAAUAGUGAUAGUUUAAUUGUAUUGUGAAAGAUUAUUGAAAUAUUUUGAAAAUUUAUUUAUUUAAUAGUAGAUUUAAUUUAUCGUACCUUGUGUAUCAGGGUUCAUCAAUAAUUGUGUAUUUAUUUACAUAUCCCGAUUUAAAGAGAGCUAGGUGUAUUUGUUAGUUAAUGUAGAAUAAUUAUUAAUAAAAUAGAUUUAGAAAUGAAACGUUAUCCGUUCUUUAAGGUAUCUGGUUUUUUAAGAAAUGAAUUUAAUUCAGUUAUUAAAUUUUAUUGAUUUAAUUAAUUAAGUUAAUAUUAUUUAAUAAAAAUAUUUGGGGGGAUAAGCUUCUAAAUAUGAACUUAUAAAAUAAAAAUUUGGUGGAAAUUUUGUAGGCUUAGAAUUAGCCAUCAAUUUGAGGAUGUUAUAAUUUAUUUUUCAUUAAAUAUGAUUUUGUAUAAAUUUUAAGUUUUUUAUUAAAAUGUAAUUCAUAAUUAAAUAGAAUUAGUAAUAAUGAUGAAAUUAGUAUAAUAUGUUGUUAAUUAUUUUAUAAAUGUAAGGUUACAUUAAGGAAUUCGGCAAAUAAAUGCUCGCCUGUUUAACAAAAACAUGUCCUCAUGAUAAUAAUUUGAGGUCUGACCUGCCCACUGAAUAAUUAUAUUUGAAGGGCCGCGGUAUUUUGACCGUGCAAAGGUAGCAUAAUCAUUAGUCUUUUAAUUGAAGGCUUGUAUGAAUGGUUGGACGAGGUAUUGACUGUCUCAGUGUAAAUGAUAUUAAAAUUUAACUUUUAAGUCAAAAGGCUUAAAUGUAUUUAGAGGACGAGAAGACCCUAUAGAGCUUUAUAUCAUAUAUUUAUUUUUUCUUUUAGACGUAGUUUGUAGAUAGAUUAAAUGAUAUUUGGUUGGGGUGACAGGAAGAUAGAAUAAACUCUUCUUAAAAUAUGAACAUUGAUUUAUGAGUAGUUGAUCCAUUAUUAGUGAUUAUAAGACUAAGUUACCUUAGGGAUAACAGCGUAAUCUUUUUUGAGAGUUCUUAUCGACAAAAAGGGUUGCGACCUCGAUGUUGGAUUAAGGGUAAUUUUGGGUGUAGAUGUUCAAAGUUUAGGUCUGUUCGACCUUUAGAUCCUUACAUGAUCUGAGUUCAGACCGGUGUAAGCCAGGUCGGUUUCUAUCCUUAAUAAAUUAUGAUGUUUUAGUACGAAAGGACCAAACAUUGGGAAUAACUUUUCUUAAUUAAUUUGAUUAAUAUUAAUG